This 406-nucleotide ribosomal RNA is filed under the name uncultured bacterium. RNAcentral describes it as "bacterial SSU rRNA". It matches the Rfam family "Bacterial small subunit ribosomal RNA", at positions 29 to 418 of the family's 1533-position model. The record is from RNAcentral.
AGCGAACGUUAGCGGCAGGCCUAACACAUGCAAGUCGCACGAGAAUCCGGCUUCGGUCGGUAGUAAAGUGGCGGACGGGUGCGUAACACGUGGAUAAUCUGCCCUUCGGCGGGGGACAACAGUCCGAAAGGAUUGCUAAUACCGCGUACGUCGGCUGGCUCUUCGGAGCUAGUCGGGAAAGACGGCCUCUUCAUGAAAGCUGUCACCGAAGGAUGAGUCCGCGGCCCAUCAGCUAGUUGGCGGGGUAAUGGCCCACCAAGGCAUAGACGGGUAGCUGGUCUGAGAGGAUGAUCAGCCACACUGGAACUGAGACACGGUCCAGACUUCUACGGAAGGCAGCAGUGGGGAAUAUUGGGCAAUGGGCGCAAGCCUGACCCAGCCAUGCCGCGUGAGUGAUGAAGGCCUU